AUUGAACGCUGGCGGCAGGCCCAACACAUGCAAGUCGAACGGUAACAGGAAGCAGCUUGCUGCUUCGCUGACGAGUGGCGGACGGGUGAGUAAUGUCUGGGAAACUGCCUGAUGGAGGGGGAUAACUACUGGAAACGGUAGCUAAUACCGCAUAACGUCGCAAGACCAAAGAGGGGGACCUUCGGGCCUCUUGCCAUCGGAUGUGCCCAGAUGGGAUUAGCUAGUAGGUGGGGUAACAGCUCACCUAGGCGACGAUCCCUAGCUGGUCUGAGAGGAUGACCAGCCACACUGGAACUGAGACACGGUCCAGACCCCUACGGGAGGCAGCAGUGGGGAAUAUUGCACAAUGGGCGCAAGCCUGAUGCAGCCAUGCCGCGUGUAUGAAGAAGGCCUUCGGGUUGUAAAGUACUUUCAGCGGGGAGGAAGGCGGUGAGGUUAAUAACCUUGUCGAUUGACGUUACCCGCAGAAGAAGCACCGGCUAACUACGUGCCAGCAGCCGCGGUAAUACGGAGGAUGCGAGCGUUAUCCGGAUUCAUUGGGUUUAAAGGGUGCGCAGGCGGGAUUUUAAGUCAGGUGUGAAAGACCGUGGCUCAACCACGGGGUUGCACUUGAAACUGGGAUUCUUGAGGGCAGGAGAGGAAAGUGGAAUUCCUGGUGUAGCGGUGAAAUGCGUAGAAAUCAGGAGGAACACCGGUGGCGAAGGCGACUUUCUGGACUGACCCUGACGCUGAGGUGCGAAAGCGUGGGUAGCAAACAGGAUUAGAUACCCUGGUAGUCCACGCUGUAAACGAUGGAUACUAGGUGUGGGAGGUAUCGACCCCUUCCGUGCCGCAGCUAACGCAAUAAGUAUCCCGCCUGGGGAGUACGGUCGCAAGGCUGAAACUCAAAGGAAUUGACGGGGGCCCGCACAAGCGGAGGAACAUGUGGUUUAAUUCGAUGAUACGCGAGGGACCUUACCCGGGCUUGAAUUGCUAACGACGGUUACUGGAGACAGUUACCUUCCUUCGGGACGUUAGUGAAGGUCCUGCAUGGUUGUCGUCAGCUCGUGCCGUAAGGUGUCGGCUCAAGUGCCAUAACGAGCGCAACCCUUGCCGUUAGUUGCCAUCAGGUGAAGCUGGGCACUCUAUCGGGACUGCCAUCGUAAGAUGUGAGGAAGGUGGGGAUGACGUCAAAUCAGCACGGCCCUUAUGUCCGGGGCUACACACGUGUUACAAUGGGGGGUACAGAGGGAAGCCACCUGGCGACAGGGCGCGGAUCCCGAAAUCCCUUCUCAGUUCGGAUCGGAAUCUGGAACCCGACUCCGUGAAGCUGGAUUCGCUAGUAAUCGCGCAUCAGCCAUGGCGCGGUGAAUACGUUCCCGGGCCUUGUACACACCGCCCGUCAAGCCAUGAAAGCCGGGGGCGCCUGAAGUCCGUAACCGCGAGGAUCGGCCUAGGGCGAACCUGGUAAUUGGGGCUA
This 1459-nucleotide ribosomal RNA is filed under the name uncultured bacterium. RNAcentral's name for it is "bacterial SSU rRNA". It matches the Rfam family "Bacterial small subunit ribosomal RNA". The record is from RNAcentral.